RNAcentral lists this ribosomal RNA (38 nucleotides) under Hydnum ovoideisporum. Its description in RNAcentral is "partial 28S ribosomal RNA". The record is from RNAcentral. Lineage: Eukaryota; Fungi; Basidiomycota; Agaricomycetes; Cantharellales; Hydnaceae.
UCUGACCUCGAAUCAGGUGGGACUACCCGCUGAACUUA